This 253-nucleotide ribosomal RNA is filed under the name uncultured bacterium. Its description in RNAcentral is "partial 16S ribosomal RNA". It matches the Rfam family "Bacterial small subunit ribosomal RNA", at positions 524 to 776 of the family's 1533-position model. The record is from RNAcentral.
UACGUAGGUGGCAAGCGUUGUCCGGAAUUAUUGGGCGUAAAGCGCGCGCAGGCGGUCUUUUAAGUCUGAUGUGAAAGCCCACGGCUCAACCGUGGAGGGUCAUUGGAAACUGGGAAACUUGAGUGCAGAAGAGAAGAGUGGAAUUCCACGUGUAGCGGUGAAAUGCGUAGAGAUGUGGAGGAACACCAGUGGCGAAGGCGACUCUUUGGUCUGUAACUGACGCUGAGGCGCGAAAGCGUGGGGAGCAAACAGG